AACGAACGCUGGCGGCAUGCCUAACACAUGCAAGUCGAACGAAGGCUUCGGCCUUAGUGGCGCACGGGUGCGUAACGCGUGGGAACCUGCCCCUCGGUUCGGAAUAACAGUUAGAAAUGACUGCUAAUACCGGAUGAUGACUUCGGUCCAAAGAUUUAUCGCCGAGGGAUGGGCCCGCGUAGGAUUAGCUAGUUGGUGGGGUAAAGGCCUACCAAGGCGACGAUCCUUAGCUGGUCUGAGAGGAUGAUCAGCCACACUGGGACUGAGACACGGCCCAGACUCCUACAGGAGGCAGCAGUGGGGAAUAUUGGACAAUGGGCGAAAGCCUGAUCCAGCAAUGCCGCGUGAGUGAUGAAGGCCUUAGGGUUGUAAAGCUCUUUUACCAGGGAUGAUAAUGACAGUACCUGGAGAAUAAGCUCCGGCUAACUCCGUG
This 433-nucleotide ribosomal RNA is filed under the name uncultured bacterium. RNAcentral's name for it is "bacterial SSU rRNA". It matches the Rfam family "Bacterial small subunit ribosomal RNA", at positions 29 to 507 of the family's 1533-position model. The record is from RNAcentral.